AUUGAACGCUGGCGGCAGGCCUAACACAUGCAAGUCGAGCGGAUGAAGGGAGCUUGCUCCUGGAUUCAGCGGCGGACGGGUGAGUAAUGCCUAGGAAUCUGCCUGGUAUGGGGGGAUAACGUCCGGAAACGGGCGCUAAUACCGCAUACUUUCUGAGGGCGAAAGUGGGGGAUAUUCGGACCUCACGCUAUCAGAUGAGCCUAGGUCGGAUUAGCUGGUUGGUGGGGUAAAGGCCUACCAAGGCGACGAUCCGUAACUGGUCUGAGAGGAUGAACAGUCACACUGGACCUGGGACACGGUCCAGACUCCUACGGGAGGCACCCGUCGGGAAUAUUGGCCGAUGGGCGCAAUCCUGAUCCAGCCAUGCCGCGUGUGUGAAGAAGGUCUUCGGAUUGUAAAGCUCUUUAAGUUGUGAGGAAGGUAAGUAACUUAAUACCGUGCUGUUUUGACGUUUCCCACAGAAUAAGCACCGGCUAACCUCGUG
This 484-nucleotide ribosomal RNA is filed under the name uncultured bacterium. Its description in RNAcentral is "partial 16S ribosomal RNA". It matches the Rfam family "Bacterial small subunit ribosomal RNA", at positions 30 to 507 of the family's 1533-position model. The record is from RNAcentral.